GACGAACGCUGGCGGCGUGCUUAACACAUGCAAGUCGAACGGUGAAGCGCCUUCCUUUUUGGUGGGUGUGGAUGAGUGGCGAACGGGUGAGUAACACGUGAGUAACCUGCCCCCUUCUUCUGGAUAACCGCAUGAAAGUGUGGCUAAUACGGGAUAUUCUGGGUCUGUCGCAUGAUGGGUCUGGGAAAGAUAUUGUUUCGGUGGGGGAUGGGCUCGCGGCCUAUCAGCUUGUUGGUGGGGUGAUGGCCUACCAAGGCGGUGACGGGUAGCCGGCCUGAGAGGGUGGACGGUCACACUGGGAAUGAGACACGGCCCAGACUCAUACGGGAGGCAGCAGUGGGGAAUAUUGCACAAUGGGCGCAAGCCUGAUGCAGCGACGCCGCGGGAGGGACGGAGGCCUUCGGGUUGUGAACCUCUUUCGCCAGUGAAGCAGGCCUGCCUCGUUUGUGGGUGGGUUGACGGUAGCUGGAUAAGAAGCGCCGGCUAACUACGUG
RNAcentral lists this ribosomal RNA (494 nucleotides) under uncultured bacterium. RNAcentral's name for it is "partial 16S ribosomal RNA". It matches the Rfam family "Bacterial small subunit ribosomal RNA", at positions 28 to 507 of the family's 1533-position model. The record is from RNAcentral.